CUAGAAAAGGAAACUAUCUGGUCAUAACAUUAUAAACCAUGCAGAAAGACCAAAUUAUUCUGAAGAUUCUUUCUCCAUAGAUUUAGUUCCUCAGCUCGUCACAGGAAUAUGUGAUAGUUCUCGCUUUUAAUCACCACUGGGACUACAAUAUGCCUGUUCAAACAUGAAAGCCGCAACAUAUCAACUGAAAUAUAUACCUUUUUAUAUGACAGUGCUCCAUUUGCAUUGCAGUUAAUACAACCAAAUCAGGAAAGCAGAUUUUUAUUGAAUUCCAAUUUCAUCACCUUCCGCGGUGGGAUUCCAACUCAUGAACACAGAUCUUUAGCCUCGGGUUCCAGAAUACUGAGCCAGUCAUGUUACCACUUUGCCAGCACCUCUUCGGAGCUACUAAUACUGAUCAAAUGAUGUGGGUUUGUCCCUGGACUCCAGAUGGAUCAAAUUCAUCUGUGGGGAGAAGAAGAUAUACAUUAGCUGCUUCAGAGAAGAAUUUGCAAACCGCAUCAACAGAAAUCAUUAUGUUUCAGGACAAGAUGUUACCAUAUCACAUAAUGAAUGGCAUAUGCAUAUGUAUAUGAAUAGUUUUAUAAAUGUACUAGCUGACUUUGUGGCGUUGUCAGAGGUAGUCUGGUGUCUGGAGUCCAGUUAUGAAAUUUAGUAUUGUUCUAUUUCCAGUUGUGGGCCGGAUCACAGUAAGAUAUAGGGAAAAUAAGGAAUUGGAUUUUAAAUGUAAAAUCAUGGGAUCUUGAAAAAAAGUAAGGAUUUGUUUCUGUUUCUUUUCAGUGGUUAUUAAAUUUUCAAAAAUAAAGAUAAUUUACGAAAGCAGUAAAGAAACUUCAUAGUUUAUUCCAUGAAGUUACAAUCACCACUCCACUUUCUUACUUUGUAACAUUCCCCAUCUCAGCAAG
Molecule: non-coding RNA, 905 nt
Organism: Chiloscyllium plagiosum (whitespotted bambooshark)
Lineage: Eukaryota; Metazoa; Chordata; Chondrichthyes; Orectolobiformes; Hemiscylliidae
Source: RefSeq, a predicted model, not a curated record